RNAcentral lists this ribosomal RNA (274 nucleotides) under uncultured bacterium. RNAcentral describes it as "partial 16S ribosomal RNA". It matches the Rfam family "Bacterial small subunit ribosomal RNA", at positions 85 to 354 of the family's 1533-position model. The record is from RNAcentral.
CUGCCGGCGACCGGCGCACGGGUGAGUAACACGUAUGCAACCUGCCCUCCGCAGGGGGAUAACCCGGAGAAAUCCGGACUAAUACCGCGUGGUACACCAGUGGGGCAUCCCACGGGUGUUAAAAGGAAGCGAUUCCGGCGGAGGAUGGGCAUGCGGCGCAUUAGCUAGUUGGCGGGGUAACGGCCCACCAAGGCGACGAUGCGUAGGGGUUCUGAGAGGAAGGUCCCCCACACUGGUACUGAGACACGGACCAGACUCCUACGGGAGGCAGCAG